RNAcentral lists this ribosomal RNA (650 nucleotides) under Cupriavidus sp. Its description in RNAcentral is "bacterial SSU rRNA". It matches the Rfam family "Bacterial small subunit ribosomal RNA", at positions 552 to 1203 of the family's 1533-position model. Lineage: Bacteria; Pseudomonadati; Pseudomonadota; Betaproteobacteria; Burkholderiales; Burkholderiaceae. The record is from RNAcentral.
UACUGGGCGUAAGCGUGCGCAGGCGGUUUUGUAAGACAGGCGUGAAAUCCCCGGGCUCAACCUGGGAAUGGCGCUUGUGACUGCAAGGCUAGAGUGCGUCAGAGGGGGGUAGAAUUCCACGUGUAGCAGUGAAAUGCGUAGAGAUGUGGAGGAAUACCGAUGGCGAAGGCAGCCCCCUGGGACGUGACUGACGCUCAUGCACGAAAGCGUGGGGAGCAAACAGGAUUAGAUACCCUGGUAGUCCACGCCCUAAACGAUGUCAACUAGUUGUUGGGGAUUCAUUUCUUCAGUAACGAAGCUAACGCGUGAAGUUGACCGCCUGGGGAGUACGGUCGCAAGAUUAAAACUCAAAGGAAUUGACGGGGACCCGCACAAGCGGUGGAUGAUGUGGAUUAAUUCGAUGCAACGCGAAAAACCUUACCUACCCUUGACAUGCCACUAACGAAGCAGAGAUGCAUUAGGUGCCCGAAAGGGGAAAGUGGACACAGGUGCUGCAUGGCUGUCGUCAGCUCGUGUCGUGAGAUGUUGGGUUAAGUCCCGCAACGAGCGCAACCCUUGUCUCUAGUUGCUACGAAAAGGGCACUCUAAAGAGACUGCCGGUGACAAACCGGAGGGAAGGUGGGGAUGACGUCAAAUCCUCAUAGGCGCUU